This 1614-nucleotide long non-coding RNA is filed under the name Salmo salar (Atlantic salmon). RNAcentral describes it as "lncRNA (ENSSSAG00000120987.1)". The record is from RNAcentral. Lineage: Eukaryota; Metazoa; Chordata; Actinopteri; Salmoniformes; Salmonidae.
AACCAGGUGAGGAGAGUUCCUUACUGAGACCUAGACAACCAGGUGAGGGGAGUUCCUUACUGAGACCUAGACAACCAGGUGAGGAGAGUUCCUUACUGAGACCUAGACGACCAGGUGAGGAGAGUUCCUUACUGAGACCUAGACGACCAGGUGAGGAGAGUUCCUUACUGAGACCUGGACAACCAGGUGAGGAGAGUUCCUUACUGAGACCUAGACAACCAGGUGAGGGGAGACCUAGACAACCAGGUGAGGAGAGUUCCUUACUGACACCUAGACAACCAGGUGAGGGGAGUUCCUUACUGAGACCUGGACAACCAGGUGAGGAGAGUUCCUUACUGAGCCCUAGACAACCAGGUGAGGGGAGUUCCUUACUGAGACCUAGACAACCAGGUGAGGAGAGACCUAGACAACCAGGUGAGGGGAGACCUUUUACACGUGUCAAGUAGUAUCUGGUCCUAUCAUCAUCAUCAUCAUCAUCAUCAUCUCAUAAACAGUAGCCCUGAUCUGAGCAGGUUUAUUUAUACCACAUUUUUUCAGAUCAAGGGAUAGUUCAAUCAAAUUACAAAAAACGUACACCUUAGUUUCCUCACCCUGUAUAAAAUCCCCCAAAAUGUUCAGCAGUGAAGUUCUCAAGAUGGACUUUCAGUACAGCGGUGUUCCCCAAUCCUGGUCCCAAGGGAUGCACACUGUUGUUUUUUUGCCUCAGCACUCACAUACCUUAUUCAAUUCAAAGGUCCUUUUGAUCCCCUGGACCAGGAAACACUGCAGUAUAGAGCCAAUGAGAGGGAUGAUGCUAAUGAUAUGAUAAUAAUUAUAAUAAUGUUUCUCAUUUGUGUCAUCAUCACUGUUUGCUCUGUACUGAAAGUGCUCCAUCUUGAAAACUUGAUUUGCUAACAUGCACGAUUGUUGGGAUUAUAUUAACAAUGGACUAAAUAAACAAAAUACUACAAUAAAUAUUUUGAUAAACAUCCCAUUCAUAGCAGCUACCACUCCAUUCAGGAAAGCUGUGUCGAGUAACUUUUGCUCCAUCGCCUCCACAUCCUGCACAGUAUUCACAGGGAAACAGCACCCGUCGUAUUCACAGGGAAACAGCACCCGUCGUAUUCACAGGGAAACAGCACCCGUCGUAUUCACAGGGAAACAGCACCCGUCGUAUUCACAGGGAAACAGCACCCGUCGUAUUCACAGGGAAACAGCGCCCGUCGUAUUCACAGGGAAACAGCACCCGUCGUAUUCACAGGGAAACAGCACCCGUCGUAUUCACAGGGAAACAGCACCCGUCGUAUUCACAGGGAAACAGCACCCGUCGUAUUCACAGGGAGACAGCACCCGUCGUAUUCACAGGGAGACAGCACCCGUCGUAUUCACAGGGAGACAGCACCCGUCGUAUUCACAGGGAAACAGCACCCGUCGUAUUCACAGGGAGACAGCACCCGUCGUAUUCACAGGGAAACAGCGCCCGUCGUAUUCACAGGGAAACAGCACCCGUCGUAUUCACAGGGAGACAGCGCCGUCGGGUUGUGCUGCUGUCACGGUGGUACCACUGUGAGGUCCUGACUCCUCUUCCUCCAUGUCUGAGUCAGUCUGAGAUCAGAAGUCUCUUCUGCCUUUUUA